AAGACAAGAGUUAUAGCUAGUUGGUAGCUUCUGGAGUAGAUAGUCAGGUAAACGAACGUGCCAGCCUCGUUUGCCUUAUUAUCAACUCCUAGAGGCUUCAUAGUCGCUCUGGUAAU
This 116-nucleotide microRNA precursor is filed under the name Plutella xylostella (diamondback moth). Its description in RNAcentral is "microRNA pxy-mir-8491 precursor". The record is from miRBase by way of RNAcentral. Lineage: Eukaryota; Metazoa; Arthropoda; Insecta; Lepidoptera; Plutellidae.